AUUAACCUUGAAUGCAGCCGAUCUCCACGCUGCAACAAAUCGUCCCCUUCUAAUGUUAGACCGACUCCUCUGGCGAUAUUUUUUUUGAUGUCUUGUUGUUGACUGACAGUUACCAUGGCAACAUUUUUAAACAACCAUGGCAACAUUUUUAAACAACCCUGCUUAUUUCGCCGUUGCUCUUAUUUUCUCAGCCAGUGUUGUUUUACCAAUACCACCCAUACCACAUAUCCCAACAAUAGUGAUCCUUUCAUCUCUCAAAGCGG
RNAcentral lists this long non-coding RNA (263 nucleotides) under Capsicum annuum. Its description in RNAcentral is "long non-coding RNA (CANN_LNC007513)". The record is from RNAcentral. Lineage: Eukaryota; Viridiplantae; Streptophyta; Magnoliopsida; Solanales; Solanaceae.